AUCAGCCAUAUAAUCAGUCAGAAAUUUCUUUUGAGUGUGACCCCAUAGGUUCAAAUCUAAGUCGGUAGUAUGAGAAUAAUCUUUCUAUACCAAUUAAAGUGACCAUCUAGCAAUGAUACCCGACGUGCGGAUAGGUCAAAAGAUUGUAAAGCAUCAUUCAAGAACCUAUUAGCAUAUGGUUACUGUAUAAUUCAUCCCUUUGAUCCAAAUGCUCAAGGUGACCUAAGGUUUAACUGCCAACCCUAAUAUGGUCAUUCACAUUGUAUUUCAAUUUUCAAAAUCUAUCACAUGGAUUAUCCCGGUCAAGGUUUUAUUGAAUUGAAACACACUGAUAUAUUAACUCCUACUUAUUCGGAGGGGUCAAUUACAUCUUGACUCACAUACCGACUUCGCAAGUACUUGACUAUGCCCAAAAAUUUUUCAUCACUGAAUUAAAAAUUCAGGUAGUCCAGCACCA
Molecule: long non-coding RNA, 457 nt
Filed under: Elaeis guineensis (African oil palm)
Lineage: Eukaryota; Viridiplantae; Streptophyta; Magnoliopsida; Arecales; Arecaceae
Description: long non-coding RNA (EGUI_LNC066951)
Source: RNAcentral